Molecule: non-coding RNA, 23 nt
Filed under: Arabidopsis thaliana (thale cress)
Lineage: Eukaryota; Viridiplantae; Streptophyta; Magnoliopsida; Brassicales; Brassicaceae
Source: RNAcentral
GGGAUUGGCUGCUGACAUCUUCA